RNAcentral lists this ribosomal RNA (429 nucleotides) under bacterium. Its description in RNAcentral is "partial 16S ribosomal RNA". It matches the Rfam family "Bacterial small subunit ribosomal RNA", at positions 355 to 776 of the family's 1533-position model. The record is from RNAcentral.
UGGGGAAUCUUCCGCAAUGGACGAAAGUCUGACGGAGCAACGCCGCGUGAGUGAUGACGGCCUUCGGGUUGUAAAGCUCUGUUAAUCGGGACGAAUGGUUCUUGUGCGAAUAGUGCAAGGAUUUGACGGUACCGGAAUAGAAAGCCACGGCUAACUACGUGCCAGCAGCCGCGGUAAUACGUAGGUGGCAAGCGUUGUCCGGAAUUAUUGGGCGUAAAGCGCGCGCAGGCGGAUUGGUCAGUCUGUCUUAAAAGUUCGGGGCUUAACACCGUGAUGGGAAGGAAACUGCCAAUCUAGAGUAUCGGAGAGGAAAGUGGAAUUCCUAGUGUAGCGGUGAAAUGCGUAGAUAUUAGGAAGAACACCAGUGGCGAAGGCGACGUUCUGGACGAAAACUGACGCUGAGGAGCGAAAGCCAGGGGAGCGAACGGG